GACCGCGUACUUUUUGUAGAACGGUCCGGCGAGUUACGCUUACUGGCAAGGUUAAGCACUUCAGGUGUGGAGCCGUAGGGAAACCAAGUCUUAAGAGGGCCUUAAGUCAGUAGGAGUAGACCCGAAACCGGGUGAUCUAUCCAUGUCCAGGUUGAAGCUGCCGUAAGAGGUAGUGGAGGACCGAACCCACAUCCGUUGAAAAGGGUGGGGAUGAGGUGUGGAUAGGGGAGAAAUUCCAAUCGAACCCGGAGAUAGCUGGUUCUCCUCGAAAUAGCUUUAGGGCUAGCCUCGAUACAGAUUUGCGGAGGUAGAGCACUGAAUUUCCUAGGGGGCGUCAAAGCCUACCGAAGAAUAUCAAACUCCGAAUGCCGCGUAAUCGAUUAUCGGGAGUCAGACUGCACGAGAUAAGUUGGGCGGUCAAAAGGGAAAGAGCCCAGACCUUCAGUUAAGGUCCCCAAGUGCGCGUUAAGUGGAAAAGGAUGUGGGAUUUCGAAGACAACCAGGAUGUUGGCUCAGAAGCAGCCAUCCAUUCAAAGAGUGCGUAAUAGCUCACUGGUCGAGAGGUCCUGCGCCGAAAAUGUCCGGGGCUGAAACGCGCCACCGAAACUAAGGAACCGAAAGGUUGGUAGAGGAGCAUUGCAUGCGGGAAGAAGCAGUACCGGAAGGAGCUGUGGACUGCAUGGAAGAGAGAAUGCCGGAAUGAGUAGCGAGAAUAAGGUGGGAAUCCUUAUGGCCGAAUAUCCAAGGUUUCCAGAGUAAAGCUGAUCUGCUCUGGGUAAGUCGGGGCCUAAGGCGAGGACGAGAGUCGUAGCCGAUGGACAACAGGUGGAGAUUCCUGUACUGCGGUAUGACAGAACUGUGGGGACACGUAAGGAAAGCGGAAGCCGGGAAUGGAGAGCCCGGUGCAAGCGGGGUACCAGUCACUUUGGCAAAUCCGGGUGGCAAUGGGAAGCCGUGAUGCGGAGUGAAAUAAAGUAACGAAGUCCGUGAGCCAUGCGUCAAGAAAAGCCGCUAUCGUUUAUACCGUACCCGUACCGUAAACCGACACAGGUGGAUGAGGAGAGAAUCCUAAGGCCGGCGGAAGAAGCAUUGUCAAGGAACUCGGCAAAAUGGCCCCGUAACUUAGGGAUAAGGGGUGCCUGGGAAACCAGGCCGCAGAGAAUAGGCUCAAGCAACUGUUUAGCAAAAACACAGGUCUAUGCGAAACCGAAAGGUGAGGUAUAUGGGCUGACGCCUGCCCGGUGCUGGAAGGUUAAGAGGAGAGGUUAGCGGUAACGCGAAGCUUUGAAUUUAAGCCCCAGUAAACGGCGGCCGUAACUAUAACGGUCCUAAGGUAGCGAAAUUCCUUGUCGGGUAAGUUCCGACCCGCACGAAAGGCGUAAUGAUUUGAGCGCUGUCUCGACAAUGCAUCCGGUGAAAUUGAAGUACCAGUGAAGAUGCUGGUUACCUGCGCCAGGACGGAAAGACCCCAUGGAGCUUUACUCCAGUCUGGUACUGGGACUCGGUAUUGCAUGUACAGGAUAGGUGGGAGGCUAGGAGAUGGUAACGCCAGUUGCCAUGGAGCCGCUGUUGGGAUACCACCCUUGCAGUAUUGGGUUUCUAACCAGCCGCCGUGACCCGGCGGUGGGACAAUGCCAGACGGGGAGUUUGACUGGGGCGGUCGCCUCCGAAAGGGUAUCGGAGGCGCCCAAAGGUUCCCUCAGAAUGGACGGAAACCAUUCGAAGAGUGCAAAGGCAGAAGGGAGCUUGACUGCGACACCGACGGGUGGAGCAGGUACGAAAGUAGGGCUUAGUGAUCCGGUGGUAUUAAGUGGGAAUGCCAUCGCUCAACGGAUAAAAGCUACCCUGGGGAUAACAGGCUUAUCACUCCCAAGAGUUCACAUCGACGGAGUGGUUUGGCACCUCGAUGUCGGCUCAUCGCAUCCUGGGGCUGUAGUAGGUCCCAAGGGUUGGGCUGUUCGCCCAUUAAAGCGGUACGCGAGCUGGGUUCAGAACGUCGUGAGACAGUUCGGUCCCUAUCCGGCGUGGGCGUAGGAUAUCUGAGAGGAGCUGUCCUUAGUACGAGAGGACCGGGAUGGACGGGCCGCUGGUGCAUCGGUUAGACUGCCAAGUCUACGGCCGAGUAGCCAAGCCCGGAAGGGAUAAACGCUGAAGGCAUCUAAGCGUGAAGCCCCCCUUAAGAUGAGAUAUCCCAUUCGAAAGAAGUAAACCCCCUUGA
This 2218-nucleotide ribosomal RNA is filed under the name Blautia obeum. Its description in RNAcentral is "bacterial LSU rRNA". It matches the Rfam family "Bacterial large subunit ribosomal RNA", at positions 595 to 2841 of the family's 2925-position model. Lineage: Bacteria; Bacillati; Bacillota; Clostridia; Lachnospirales; Lachnospiraceae. The record is from RNAcentral.